RNAcentral lists this ribosomal RNA (577 nucleotides) under Aspergillus fumigatus. RNAcentral's name for it is "eukaryotic LSU rRNA". The stretch from base 215 to 368 matches the Rfam family "5.8S ribosomal RNA". Lineage: Eukaryota; Fungi; Ascomycota; Eurotiomycetes; Eurotiales; Aspergillaceae. The record is from RNAcentral.
CCGUAGGUGAACCUGCGGAAGGAUCAUUACCGAGUGAGGGCCCUCUGGGUCCAACCUCCCACCCGUGUCUAUCGUACCUUGUUGCUUCGGCGGGCCCGCCGUUUCGACGGCCGCCGGGGAGGCCUUGCGCCCCCGGGCCCGCGCCCGCCGAAGACCCCAACAUGAACGCUGUUCUGAAAGUAUGCAGUCUGAGUUGAUUAUCGUAAUCAGUUAAAACUUUCAACAACGGAUCUCUUGGUUCCGGCAUCGAUGAAGAACGCAGCGAAAUGCGAUAAGUAAUGUGAAUUGCAGAAUUCAGUGAAUCAUCGAGUCUUUGAACGCACAUUGCGCCCCCUGGUAUUCCGGGGGGCAUGCCUGUCCGAGCGUCAUUGCUGCCCUCAAGCACGGCUUGUGUGUUGGGCCCCCGUCCCCCUCUCCCGGGGGACGGGCCCGAAAGGCAGCGGCGGCACCGCGUCCGGUCCUCGAGCGUAUGGGGCUUUGUCACCUGCUCUGUAGGCCCGGCCGGCGCCAGCCGACACCCAACUUUAUUUUUCUAAGGUUGACCUCGGAUCAGGUAGGGAUACCCGCUGAACUUAAG